RNAcentral lists this ribosomal RNA (491 nucleotides) under uncultured bacterium. RNAcentral's name for it is "partial 16S ribosomal RNA". It matches the Rfam family "Bacterial small subunit ribosomal RNA", at positions 29 to 506 of the family's 1533-position model. The record is from RNAcentral.
AGUGAACGCUGGCGAUAGGCCUAACACAUGCCAGUCGAACGGCAGCACAGUAAGAGCUUGCUCUUACGGGUGGCGAGUGGCGGACGGGUGAGGAAUACAUCGGAAUCUACUUUUUCGUGGGGGAUAACGUAGGGAAACUUACGCUAAUACCGCAUACGACCUACGGGUGAAAGCAGGGGAUCUUCGGACCUUGCGCGAUUGAAUGAGCCGAUGUCGGAUUAGCUAGUUGGCGGGGUAAAGGCCCACCAAGGCGACGAUCCGUAGCUGGUCUGAGAGGAUGAUCAGCCACACUGGAACUGAGACACGGUCCAGACUCCUACGGGAGGCAGCAGUGGGGAAUAUUGGACAAUGGGCGCAAGCCUGAUCCAGCCAUACCGCGUGGGUGAAGAAGGCCUUCGGGUGGUAAAGCCCUUUUGUUGGGAAAGAAAAGCAGCAGGUUAAUACCCCGCUGCUCUGACGGUACCCAAAGAAUAAGCACCGGCUAACUUCGU